This 239-nucleotide ribosomal RNA is filed under the name uncultured bacterium. RNAcentral's name for it is "partial 16S ribosomal RNA". It matches the Rfam family "Bacterial small subunit ribosomal RNA", at positions 538 to 776 of the family's 1533-position model. The record is from RNAcentral.
GCGUUGUUCGGAAUUACUGGGCGUAAAGGGCGCGUAGGCGGGUCUGUAAGUCGGGUGUGAAAGCCCCGGGCUCAACCUGGGAAUUGCAUUCGAGACUGCAUUGCUGGAGUACGGAAGAGGAAGGCGGAAUUCCCGGUGUAGCGGUGAAAUGCGUAGAUAUCUGGAGGAACACCGGUGGCGAAGGCGGCAUCCUGGACCGGUAUUGACGCUGAGGCGCGAAAGCCAGGGGAGCAAACGGG